GAGCUCAUGUUGGCAGCACAUAUAUGAAAAUUGGAACAGUACAGAGAUUAGCAUGAUCCCUGAACAAGGAUGACAUGCAGAUUUCAUGAGGCAUUUUAUAUUUUU
Small nuclear RNA from Nycticebus coucang (slow loris), 105 nucleotides. Lineage: Eukaryota; Metazoa; Chordata; Mammalia; Primates; Lorisidae. The record is from RefSeq and is a predicted model, not a curated record.